RNAcentral lists this microRNA precursor (83 nucleotides) under Halomonas fontilapidosi. RNAcentral's name for it is "microRNA MIR1846". The record is from RNAcentral. Lineage: Bacteria; Pseudomonadati; Pseudomonadota; Gammaproteobacteria; Oceanospirillales; Halomonadaceae.
UGUCGCUGUCGGCAUCGGCUGUUUGACUGGCGAGGGCCGCGGGAUCGUGGCCCUCGCCAGUCAAACAGCCGAUGCCAUCGGGA